AGGAAUCUGCCUGGUAGUGGGGACAACGUUUCGAAGGGAACGCUAAUACCGCAUACGUCCUACGGGAGAAAGUGGGGGAUCUUCGGACCUCACGCUAUCAGAUGAGCCUAGGUCGGAUUAGCUAGUUGGUGGGGUAACGGCUCACCAAGGCGACGAUCCGUAACUGGUCUGAGAGGAUGGUCAGUCACACUGGAACUGAGACACGGUCCAG
Molecule: ribosomal RNA, 211 nt
Filed under: uncultured Pseudomonadales bacterium
Lineage: Bacteria; Pseudomonadati; Pseudomonadota; Gammaproteobacteria; Pseudomonadales
Description: partial 16S ribosomal RNA
Rfam family: Bacterial small subunit ribosomal RNA
Source: RNAcentral